Molecule: long non-coding RNA, 758 nt
Filed under: Homo sapiens (human)
Lineage: Eukaryota; Metazoa; Chordata; Mammalia; Primates; Hominidae
Description: HSALNT0083372
Source: RNAcentral
CGCACAUGCUCUGCAGGGGUAGUUCCUCUCAUCCUCUCACCAAGAAAACUCAGCACCAGAAAGAGAAGAGGUUUGUGGAAAAGACAACAAGUUUACUCUGGGAUGUGUUAAUGCAAUGGGCUGCAUGUGUUCACCCCUCCCCAAAUCCAUGUGUUGAAAUCCGAAUCCCCAACAUGAUGGUGAGGAGGUGGAGGCUCUGGGAAGUGAUUAGGUCAUGAUGGUGAGGAGGUGGAGGAUCUGGAAGUGAUCAGGUCCUGAUGGUGAGGAGGUGGAGGAUCUGGAAGUGAUUAGGUGGUGAUGGUGAGGAGGUGGAGGAUCUGGAAGUGAUUAGGUCGUGAUGGUGAGGAGGUGGAGGAUCUGGGAAGUGAUUAGGUCGUGAUGGUGAGGAGGUGGAGGAUCUGGAAGUGAUUAGGUCAUGAUGGUGAGGAGGUGGAGGCUCUGGACGUGAUUAGGUCGUGAUGGUGAGGAGGUGGAGGAUCUGGAAGUGAUUAGGUCGUGAUGGUGAGGAGGUGGAGGAUCUGGAAUUGAUUAGGUCGUUUUGGUGACAAGGUGGAGGAUCUGGAAGUGAUUAGGUCGUGAUGGUGAGGAGGUGGAGGAUCUGGAAGUGAUUAGGUCGUGACGGUGAGGAGGUGGAGGAUCUGGAAGUGAUUAGGUCGUCAGGGUGCAGCCCUCCUGAAUGGGAUUAGUGCCCUUAAACCAGAGGCCCCAGAGGCAUCCCUGGCUCCUUCCACUAUGAACCAGAAAGUGGGACCUCACCA